GGUAGCGCGACGGGUGGGUGGGACGAGUGGAAAAAACAGCGGGCGCGCGCACCACACACGUUUAAUGUACGCGGACGAAAACGCGCGCACACGCGCACCACGGACGGGCCGCCGGUCGUCGCAGCGCGUACACGCACCGCCGCCACGAACUUAUAUAUCCCGCGAAAUCUUUCGCUACCGUAAUCAGUACUUCGUUGACCGCCCACGCAGUAACACCGUCGUCCAGGCCGCCGAGCGGCAACGUUAGUUCCGCCGCCCUGUCCAUGAACAUAACGUGAACAUCACGACCAAUCGGUCGCAAUGACAAAAAAAUUUGAAUUCAAUUGGCAGAUCCCAGUUCCUGAUUUGUUGCUACAAGGUAGUGUGUUUGACCGUUGGACUGAAGAAAAAGAUAAUGUUGAAAUUGAAUACGGAUGUACAUUCAAAGUGGACGAAUAUGGAUUUUUCAUUUACUGGAAGAGUGAAAAUCGAGAUGGAGAUGUCAUUGAGUUAUGUCAAGUCAGUGACAUACGCUCAGGAGGUUUACCUAAAGAUACCCGACAACAACAACAGCUGAUAAAUAAACAUGGUGAUACAUUGGAAGAGAAAUCUUUAACGAUAUGCAGCAACACGGAUUACAUCAACAUAAAUUAUCAACAUAUUAUUUGUGCAGAUGCUGCAACUGCAAAACAAUGGCAGGAAGGUCUUCGUAAAAUAACUCACAACAAUAAGAUGAACAAUGUAUGUGUACGAACCAAUCUUAUGAAACAUUGGAUGCGAUUAGGUAUGUUGGUUGAUCCAAAAGGAAAAGUUCCCGUAAAAGUAAUUGCUAGAACAUUUGCAUCAGGUAAAACUGAAAAGAUGGUUUACCAGUGUUUGGCUGAUCUCAACUUGCCUAGUGGAAAAAAUGAUACUAUCGAGCCAUCAGAUUUUACUUUUGAUAAGUUUUAUGCACUAUAUCACAAGAUAUGUCCUAGAAAUGAUAUUGAAGAGCUAUUCCAGUCAAUCACCCAAGGAAAAGCUGAAAAUAUCAGUUUGGAUCAAUUUAUUACUUUCCUAAAUGAAAAACAGCGUGAUCCUCGUUUAAACGAAAUUUUAUACCCUUUGUAUGAUGAAAAGAGGGCAAUUGAAAUUAUCAACGACUAUGAACCAUCAGAAGAGGUAAAAAAUGAAAAGCAAUUGUCAAAGGAAGGUCUAAUUCGAUAUUUAAUGUCUGACGAAAAUGCACCAGUAUUUUUGGAUCGAUUAGAAUUUUACAUGGAUAUGGAUCAACCUUUAGCUCAUUAUUAUAUUAAUUCAUCUCAUAAUACUUAUUUAUCUGGGAGACAAUUUGGUGGAAAGUCCAGUGUUGAAAUGUAUCGACAGACACUUUUAGCUGGAUGCAGAUGUGUUGAACUUGACUGUUGGGAUGGUAAAGGUGAAGAAGAAGAACCAAUUAUUACUCAUGGAAAAGCCAUGUGUACAGAUAUUCUGUUUAAGGAUGUAAUUUAUGCUAUUCGUGAUACAGCAUUUGUAACAUCAGAUUAUCCUAUAAUAUUAUCAUUUGAAAAUCAUUGUUGCAAAAGUCAACAGUAUAAACUUGCCAAGUAUUGUGAUGAAAUUCUUGGGGAUUUAUUGAUGAGAGAAUGCUUACCUGAUUAUCCAUGUGAAGCUGGUGUGCCGUUACCUCCCCCGUCAUUACUAAAAAGAAAAAUUAUGAUUAAGAACAAAAGAUUAAAACCUGAAGUUGAAAAAAGUGAACUUGAGUUGUUUAGAAAAGGACAAUUUGUUAUUGAAGAUGAAGAGAAAGAAGAUGCAACUGCUGUAACAACAAAUCCCCCUGAAGAAAAAAAGGUGGAAGCACCUGAUGCUGGAACUGGUACAGAAGGUGCUGAGGCACCACCACCAAUACAAUAUACUGGAUCAACAACAAAUGUCCAUCCAUGGCUAUCUUCAAUGGUAAAUUAUGCACAGCCAAUCAAGUUUCAGGGUUUCGAUGUGGCUGAAAAAAAAAAUAUUCAUCAUAACAUGAGUUCAUUUGCUGAAAAUACCGGACUUGGAUACUUAAAGUCUCAAGCCAUUGAAUUUGUUAACUACAAUAAAAGACAAAUGAGUCGAAUCUAUCCAAAAGGAACACGUGCUGAUUCUUCUAACUAUAUGCCUCAGGUGUUUUGGAAUGCUGGUUGUCAAAUGGUAUCAUUGAAUUUUCAAACUGCUGAUUUGCCAAUGCAACUUAAUCAAGGAAAAUUUGAGUACAACGGUAACUGUGGUUAUUUGUUGAAACCUGAUUUCAUGCGUCGAGCAGACCGAAGUUUUGACCCUUUCGCAGAAUCUCCGGUAGAUGGAGUGAUUGCUGCCCAAUGUUCAGUUCAAGUGAUUGCCGGUCAGUUUUUGUCUGAUAAGAAAGUCGGCACUUAUGUUGAAGUUGAUAUGUAUGGCCUUCCUACUGAUACUAUUCGUAAAGAAUUUCGUACCCGGAUGGUGCCGAGCAAUGGUUUAAAUCCAGUGUAUAACGAGGAGCCAUUUUUAUUCAGAAAGGUAGUGUUACCAGAUUUAGCAGUACUGCGAAUUGGUGUAUAUGAAGAAAAUGGAAAAUUAUUGGGACAGAGGAUUCUACCUUUAGAUGGGCUACAAGCUGGCUAUAGACAUAUAUCCUUAAGAUCAGAAGCCAAUUUCCCAAUGGCUUUACCUAUGUUAUUUUGUAAUAUUGAAUUGAAAAUUUAUGUUCCUGAUGGUUUUGAAGAUUUCAUGGCUGCUUUAUCUGAUCCAAGAGCAUUUUUGUCGGCACAAGAAAAGCGUGCGCAACAGAUGAAGGCAAUGGGUAUUGAAGAAACCGAUAUUAACACCAAAGAUAUUGUGGCUGGUGGGGGAGGAGAAGGCGACAAGAUUAAUAAAAAGGGGAGCAAAAACAAAAAGUCUGAUGAACCAAAGAAAGAAGAAGAACUGAAAUUUGAAGCUAUAAACCUUGAGUACUUGAGAAACGAUAAGGGAUUUCAGAAAGCUAGACGAAAGCAAGAAAAAGAACUAGAAGCUUUGCGUAAACGACAAGCCAAAGAAAAAGCUUCUAUACAAAAACAGCAAUGUACAUCUGUAGAAAAGGCUGUUAAAGGCAAAGAUAAAACUGAAGUAAUCAAUGAUGGUAGUGUUAAAAAAUUAGUAACUGAGCAAAUGACUCAAUGGUCAGAAAUGGUUGAACGUCAUAGGCGAGAAAAGUGGGCAUUGCAAAAACAACAAGCCAUUGAGCAGCAAGAUGCUCUUGUGAAACUUAUGGAGUCACUUCAAGCUGCACAAAUGAAGCAGUUGGAAAUUCGACAUGAGAAAGAUUUAAAGGAGAUGAACACAAGGCAAGCAAAAAUAUCUGUGGAAGUAAUGAAAGAAGUGAUGAAUGAUAAAACACUUAAGACUAAAGGUGAUAAGGAUAGGCGGUUGAGGGAAAAGAAACAAAAUAACACUAAGAAGUUCAUGGACGAGAGAAAAUACGCUCAGAUCAAGCAGGCUAAAGAUAAAGACAAGUUGCAGGCAAAGCAUGAAAAGCAAAAGCAAGAGUUGAUCAAAGAUAUUAACAAUAUAUUCGAUCUGUACAUUUUAGCUUUUGGAGAUGUACAAGAACGAGGAGAUAGAGUACGAGCUGAGCAACAAGACUGAGUUUUUUGUAUGAUUCCUCAGUGACAACACACAUUGAUGAACCACGUGUCAUUGCUGCGGUUAUUAUUGUUAAAAAUAAUGCAGUAGACCCAGUGUACACCUAAUUGUACAAAAUUUUGAAAAGGUCAACCUAGUCAAUCCUUACUAAACAUCGUUCUAUGGCCUAGAAUAAUAACAAUCCACCGCUGGAAAUAUUUAUGAGUCAACUUAAUAAUAUUGUUAGUUAUAAAUUAAAUAUGUAUACAUAUACAUAUUUCUGUGGUUGAAA
RNAcentral lists this unclassified non-coding RNA (3871 nucleotides) under Sipha flava (yellow sugarcane aphid). Its description in RNAcentral is "1-phosphatidylinositol 4,5-bisphosphate phosphodiesterase, transcript variant X2". The record is from RNAcentral. Lineage: Eukaryota; Metazoa; Arthropoda; Insecta; Hemiptera; Aphididae.